UCCGCGGGGAAACUAUAAAGGGUGGGGAAACUUGAAAGUUGGAUGCUGCAGACCCGGUACUGGAAAGUUUCAUGUGGGGUGCCGUUGUGGGGAAGUGAGCCCCUUCCCGCUUCAGGUAGCCUGUCAUUAGGGGAAGUUGAGGGACUGUCCCACUUCAGGUGGUGUUGGAGACCGUGGAAUCUGGAGUCCGGUCCCUGGAUUCGAAUGCGAGCUUCACACCAAUUGUCAGCUGUUUAACUUUGCCCAAGUUUCUCAACUCGGUGCCUCGGUAUCCUGUAAAGUAAGGCAUGGGUAGCAAGAAACUAAAACGAGUGGGUUUAUCACAAGAGCUGUGUGACCGUCUGAGUAGACAUCAGAUCCUUACCUGUCAGGACUUUUUAUGUCUUUCCCCACUGGAGCUUAUGAAGAUGACUGGUCUGAGUUAUCGAGGUGUCCAUGAACUUCUACGUAUGGUCAGCAGGGCCUGUGCCCCAAAGAUGCAAACGGCUUAUGAGAUAAAAGCACAAAGGUCUGCUGAUUUCUCACCAGCAUUCUUAUCUACUACCCUUUCUGCUUUGGACGAAGCCCUGCACGGUGGUGUGGCUUGUGGAUCCCUCACAGAGAUUACAGGUCCACCAGGUUGUGGAAAAACUCAGUUUUGUAUAAUGAUGAGCAUUUUGGCUACAUUACCCACCCACAUGGGAGGAUUAGAAGGAGCUGUGGUGUACAUUGACACAGAGUCUGCAUUUAGUGCUGAAAGACUGGUUGAGAUAGCAGAAUCCCGUUUUCCCAGAUAUUUUAACACUGAAGAAAAAUUACUUUUGACAAGUAGUAAAGUUCAUCUUUAUCGGGAACUCACCUGUGAUGAAGUUCUACAAAGGAUUGAAUCUUUGGAAGAAGAAAUUAUCUCAAAAGGAAUUAAACUUGUGAUUAUUGACUCUGUUGCUUCUGUGGUCAGAAAGGAGUUUGAUACACAACUUCAAGGCAAUCUCAAAGAAAGAAACAAGUUCUUGGCAAGAGAAGCAUGCUCCUUGAAGUAUUUGGCUGAGGAGUUUUCCAUCCCAGUUAUCUUGACGAAUCAGAUUACAACCCAUCUGAGUGGAGCCCUGGCUUCUCAGGCAGACCUGGUGUCUCCAACUGAUGAUUUGUCCCUGUCUGAAGGCACUUCUGGAUCCAGCUGUGUGAUAGCUGCACUAGGAAAUACCUGGAGUCACAGUGUGAAUACCCGGCUGAUCCUCCAGUACCUUGAUUCAGAGAGAAGACAGAUUCUUAUUGCCAAGUCCCCUCUGGCUCCCUUCACCUCAUUUGUCUACACCAUCAAGGAGGAAGGCCUGGUUCUUCAAGCCUGUGGAAAUUCCUAGAGACAGAGAAAUGUGCAAACCUGUUCAUCUUGCUGAGAAAAAUCCACUUUACCACCACAGAAACAAAAUAUUGGGAAAGAGUCUUGUGGUGGUGGAUCAUGACCCCUCCUUGAGGCUACGCAGAGAAGCAGUGAUGUUACCAUGGAGAGGAGUGAGCCCCUCACCCACCCAGGUGAGAGGUCUUAUCCUGACUUUUUAGUCACAAUCCAAUGAGAUAUUUUGCAGGGUUAGUGGAUGCAGUAGGUUAAAUGGUGGCUCCAAAAGAGAUACGUCCAUGUCCCUACCCCUAGAACAUGUAAAUAUGGCCUGAUUUGUACAAAGGGUCUUUGCAGAGGUAAUUAAGGAUGUUGCGAUGAGAUCAUCCUGGACUACCCAGGUGGGUCCUAAAUCUAAUGACAAGGGUCCCGGUAAGAGACACAGAGGGGGAAAGUCACGAGGAGGAGGGGGCAGUGUGACCAUAGAGGCAGAGACUGGAGUUAAGCAGCCCCAAGCCAAGGCACACCUGGAGCCACUGGAAGCUGGAAGAGGCGAGGAAGAGGUCUCCCUGAGAGCCUUCAGAGGGAGCCUGGCCCUGCAGACACCUUGAUGUGGGGCUUCUGGCUGCCAGGACUGUAGAGAAUACAUUUCUGUGCUUUUAGGCCACUCUGUUCGUGACACUUUGUUGCUGCAGCCCUAGAAAACUAAUGCAGUGGGGUCGCCCAGAGAGAUGAAAUGACUGGAGAGAGAGAGAGAGAAUGUGGCCAUCUAGAAAACUGAGUUCAGCCCCCGGACUUGCUGCUGGGGUCUGAGGUGAACUUUCCUAAACAUUGUGCUGUGGAGUCUCUUUCCUCUUGCGUUCCUCAUACGUUAACUUCUCAUGGCAGAGAUUGGGGCUCAUGGUUCACCUGAGGAUACUACUAAGGACCAGGGAGGUUUUAUCAGAUCCUCACAUCUAUUUGAAAUAGUGGCAAUAAUAAUGACCACGCUCUAUAGAAUGCUUAACAUGUGUUAGAUAGGUCACAUACAUUAUCUCAUUUAAUCCUCAAAACAAUCCUAUAUGGUUGUUAUUCUCAUCCCCAUCUUACAGAUGAGGAAACUGAAGCUCUGGGAGGUCAUGUAAUCUGCUCAAGGUCAUUUAGCAAAUGCUGGUGGAGCCAGACCUUGACCCCAGGUUUGCCUGUGCUUGAGCCACAGCAUUACAAAAGGCUCAAGCCCCACAGAGGUAGUCGGGCGCAUCCUGUAGCACCCAGCUGUCAGAUGAGAAAGGAUGUAUUUAUUUAUGUAUGUCUUUUAAUAGCAGCACUGGCAUUAGAGUUUCUUUGUCAGUAAGGGUUGGAGUGAUGGGUUGAUUGAGAUGAAGGUUGCUGAGAUGACCUGGUGGGUCCUGCUACCAGCAGAUGGAUGUCAAAACAUUUGCAUUGAGGGGGAGAUAAAGUCAAAACUGGGACGAAUCAACUUUCUCUCAGCUCCAGGGCUCUGAGGUCCUUUCUUGGCUCUCAGCCCUGUCAGGAAAAGAGGAGAACUCCCUGCCACAUGGUCUCUCUGGUGUGAGAAGCUGACAGUCCACUGCUGAGCUUUCCCUGCUUUGCCACAAACAGAGGGCACCUCCCCACACAACUUCCUCUCCUGCUGGAAUGGGAAGAGAGGACACUGGCUAUUAAGAAAAGCUCUGAUGAGCUCCUGUCCUGGGGCAAACUCUGUUUCUGGAGUCCCCUCUUAUAGGGCUAAACUCAGGUGGGCUCUGACUGUUGGGGGUCCCCGUGCCUCUCACAGUCAUGUUUUCAGAGUUUUGGGAGAUCUGGGUUGGUUUCCCUCUUGCCAUGGUUCAUGCUGGCGUGUGGCCAGCAUGGCAGCGUCUCCCCUGCCCUCCCAGAUUUCAGGUUGGAGGGAGUUCAGUUUCAGAGAGACAAUCCACAGGCCUGCAGAUUUCCUCCCAUGCAGACCUCAGUGCAAGAUAAAGUCAGGCAAGGCUGUGCCACAGCACAACAGCAUAAUAAAUCCCCCUCUGGCCUCCUCCCAGACUUAUUGUUCUAUUGCAGUUGUUUUGAGUAUGAUCAAAAGGAAGGAAGAGACUGUGCUAUCAGACUGAGGAAGAAGGAUGCUCUCCUGACCGCUCCUGUUGCCCUUGGCCACCCUUAUUUUAAAUAUGAGGAAACCAAAGGGCAACGUGCAGCCUAACCCCAUCCACAUCAUGAGGAGCGACGAGCUGCAGCCCAGGCCCCAUGGACCUUUGGUGAGGCAGCAACCCCUGUGCAAACUCACUGACAGCUACCUUGAAUGUCCAGCCCUGUCCUUUUACACACCAUGGGGGGCUGGAAGGCCCAAGCACAGGGUCAGCAGCACUUUGGGGCCGGAGCCGGAAGUAGGCCCUGGAGCAGCUAAAGUAGCUGUUGUUAACCCUUUGGACUGAGAACUAAGGCUGUAAGGCCACAACUGUUGGAAAUAAUGGGCCAGAACAGGAACUCCCCAAGCUCAGCUGGCUCAGUGCCCACUUCUCCAGAUAGUGAAUGGCUCAAGUUCUUUGGAAAUGUUGUCAAUGUCAGGGCUUUGGCCUUGCCUAUGUCCAGCCCAGGUUCGGGCACAGGCAUGGGGUGGGGUGUGACAUCGGCCACCACCGCUGGAUUCCUGCAAGGAGCUAGAGCAGAAAGCAGCAACUUGCCUUAGGCUUCAAAGGUAGAAAAGGCGGGGCUGGGUGUUCCUCUUCACAGACUUGUAGACUCACACAGUCCUCUGCCCUCACGGAGGGACAUCUGCCCUGCCCAACGCCCAGAUGCUGAUUCGCCAGGUGCCUGGCUGCCGCAGCCUGGUCACCUUUGUCUGGGCUGGAAGGCCACGUCUGAGCCAUCAAAGGAGCCUCAAUGGGAGAGGACGUCAAUGUGCUUCCUCAACCAGAAAGGUGGUUUGAGUUUGGCCAAAGCAGCCCAACCAAAUAAGUAAAAAGCCUGUCAAUGGAAAGAUGGGGGCUGCUGGGAGAUCACACGACAACAAAAUGAGAACCAUUAUCAGUCUCAUCCCAGCCUGAAGGAGGGAGAGCCUUUGAAGCCACAGACAGGCUGAACAGAACUUUCCACCUGAGAGACGCUGGAGAUGGGAGGUCAGGCUGCACUCAGCCCCCACGAAAACUGAUCAAAGCCUGCUGCAGAAGGGAGGGGGCACACAGCUGCAGCUCCAACUCCCCCCACGGGCCGCCCGGGACUUUCUGAAGGCAACGGGGCUGCCUUUGCAGGGGCCUGUGGGAAAACCCAACACAGAUGCACAUUGCAGCCAAACCCCCGAGCACUGCUGGGAGAGGGAAAAAUAAACCCCUCAAUAGUCCUGAAAAGAAAAGGGAGGGAAUCAAAGCACACAAAAAAUGCAAAGACCACCCACCUGAUGAGCGCCUACCUUUCGGAAACAAAUAACUCCUGGCUUCCAAGGCGCACUUCUAAAAGAACAGACGGACUGAACACUCUGCCUCAAAGCUGCGUGCACCAGGGGAUUUGUGGGAAGCCAUGGCCCCUUCUAAGCGUUGGAAGCUUAAUUUAAAGUGUCUUGGCCUCUGUGGUGCCUAUUCAAGGGCUCCCUUGCAUCCGCUCUCCUCCCUGGGAACCCGGGAGACAAGAAUCCUCAUUUAGAAAAGGACAGGAUCCUGUGUGAACUCCUUUAUGGUGGUUCUCUCAGACAGGACAGCCAUAUCUGCCAGGGAACAUUCUAGGGGGCAUCUUUCAGGCUAGAUCCAGGGUGAUAUGGGCCCCUGCGAGGACACCUUGGAAGGCUGUGUUGGUUCUGCCUGGACUGGUCCCUCUGGGACAGCCUCAGCCUACCCUGCCUGGCCUCACCGCUCCUCCCUCUGGCCUGAAGCCUCCUUUGGAGGACUGACACUUCAUGGAGACUGCAGUUUGAUCUUUUCUGAAGUGGAGACAACAAAGCAAAGCCACUUCCACUGCGUGCUCUCUCAAAAGAAUAGGAAAGCUCUUCUCUCCUCCUUGGGAAUGGGUUUGAAGGGAGGGUGGAGUGUGCAAUGAUGGGGAGGCCGUGCAGGUAUUUUGGUGGAGGAGGGUGUGUAUGGAGGAAAUGAGCUGCCCAGAAGCACAGGAGAAAUUGACAUGAGAACAUUUCAGAAGCACUGGUUUAACCAGCUGACAUUCUUUCCAAAAUGGAUGGACAAGCCUUUAGGAGUAGACAGAGGGCCUCAGGGAGGAGAAACAGAGCUGAGGAAGAGGCAUCUCCCUUCCCCCUCCUCCGGAGGCUGAUGCUAGAGAGAAGGCAGCAAGGCCUCACCGAGUGCCUACCCACCACUCACUAGAUUUCUAUCUUUUUAUUACCUUACCCUGGGAGAUAAAUGGGGUUAUCUCCAUU
This is a non-coding RNA of Macaca mulatta (Rhesus monkey), 5657 nucleotides long. NCBI's taxonomy places the organism in Eukaryota, Metazoa, Chordata, Mammalia, Primates, Cercopithecidae. The record is from RefSeq and is a predicted model, not a curated record.